This 4802-nucleotide long non-coding RNA is filed under the name Triticum aestivum (bread wheat). RNAcentral's name for it is "long non-coding RNA (TAES_LNC020657)". The record is from RNAcentral. Lineage: Eukaryota; Viridiplantae; Streptophyta; Magnoliopsida; Poales; Poaceae.
UUGACUUGGCCCCACGCGAGUCGGUGGCGGUCCCUCCUACUGAUCCUCUGAAGCCAGCUGCUGAUGAUGUGUUGCUUGAGAAACAACCUAUUUCGGCCACCCCAUCUCCGGGGCCUGCUCCAACCUUCCAGGCCGUCCUAUCUCCCCUACCCAUUCCGGAAUUGAGGAUCUGCCCAUCUCCCCUGCCCGAGAUGAGUGGGGUCGCAGUCUAAGAGGAAGAAGAAAUCGUCAGUCCACAAGUUCUCGGCGAAGAGCAGGGCCUCCUCGGGCUCUAAGCAAUCGAUGACUGGUGUCUGCCCCCGCCUUGACAAGGACCUGGGAUCGAUGUCGCGCUCGGGCCCCGUUCCUGCUUCUACCAUGGCCCGGUCUCCUUUGAUUCGUUCGCCCACUUCCACGGCUCGCAAGGGCAAGCGGGUCAGCGAGGCGGGCGGAUCUAUCUUGGAGCGGGCGGAGCGGCGGGCUGCUGCUAAGGAUCUUCCCCCUUCAGGUAAUCAUCUUGGUCCUCUCCCCUCCUCUUCCCCGAUUCAGCUUUUUCUCUCGUCUCUUUCUGAUGACCACUUGUUAAAUAUUAUGUCUGAUGUGGGUGUGUCGGUAGAUACCGAGGUAGGCUCCCCCUUACUCUCCUCUCUACUAUCGGGGCUAACAAGUUGGCUCAGGCGGCCGUCGCUAAAGCAAAAGAGGCCGUUGCCUCUUCGGCUGUAGCUUCGGAAGGUGUUCGGGCUCCGGUCGAUGGUGUGGAGGUUGGUAGUCGCCAACCCCAGCCUUCUUCCAGAAGGGGCCCUAUUAAAAGAUCUAAACCCUGCGUGGCUCCUAGCAGGUCCAGUCUCCGUAUUAAAAACCUCUCUUAUAAAUGAAAGCCUUAUUUUGGAAAAUUAGAAGUUUCGGUGCUAGGGGGCGUCACAACCAAAUUAAAGACUUGAUUCAUGGUAAUAACAUUGACUUGGUUGGGCUGGUUGAAACCUUUAAAGAAUCCUUCUCCCCUAACGAACUUUCUGCCAUCGCGGGCAUGGAUAGAUUUGAUUGGCAUGUGCUACUUGCUUCCGAUCAUUCGGGAGAGAUCCUGAUUGGCUCAAAAAAGAUAUGUUCGAUUUCGUGGCCUUUGAUCAUGGUGUUUUCUGGGUAAGCACGGUAGUCUGUCACAAAGCCCUCAAUAUUCUAUGGGAAAUCAUCGUGGUUUAUGGCCCGGCUGAUCAUUCGCUUUCCUCCUUAUUCUUGGACGAGCUCUCUGCUAAGAUUGAGGCAUGUAAUUUACCAAUUAUUAUCGGUGGGGAUUUCAACCUCCUUUGCUCUCCUGCUGACAAAAGUAAUGACAAUUUUUCUUGGAGGCUGGUGAACGCUUUCAACGACUUCAUUAGCAUCAAUGCUAUCCGCGAGCUACCUAGGAUUGGGGCCCGCUUCACUUGGUCUAACCAUCAGGCCAACCCGAUUAGAUCGGUACUUGCCAGAGUUUUUAUGUAUUCUAGUUGGGAUUCUCUCUUUCCUUGGGCCUCCCUCACCGCUAAAUGUAUCGUUGGCUCGGAUCACACCCCCCUUAUUCUUGAUGGUGGGCUACAUCAAGAUAGACCUCCUGCCAGAUUCCAAUUUGAUGCCUCUUGGCUGUUUGUUGAAGGGUUUUAUGAUUUGCUUGCCUCAAAGAUUACUCGUCUCCUAUCCACUAACCCUCGUUCCUUUGGUCCACUCGAUGAUUGGCACUUUUGCUCUUACAAUUUGCGCAAAUUUCUGAGAGGCUGGUCCUGUAAUCACGCUGCAGAGGAGCGUCGCUCGAAAGACGCUCUCGAACCUCAAAUCUUGGCCCUUGAUCAUUUAGCUGAUUCUUUUGGGCUCUCUGAAGAUGGGUGGUCUUUGCGAUACAAUCUUGAAUCAGCCUUGAUGCAUUUGCAUCAACAGGCGGAAAUUUAUUGGCGACAGCGGGGCACACUUAAUUGGACUCUAAAAGGGGAUUCCCCCAUGGCUUAUUUUUUUGCUAUCGCUAACGGUAGGAGGAGGCGUUGUGGUAUUAACAGCCUGAUCAUUAAUGGUGUGCGGUCUUCUGACCAACCUGUGAUCCUCUCUCACGUGGUGGAGCUCUUCUCUUCGUUAUUAGGGUCCAAACCUUCCUCGGGAUUUUCUAUCUCGCCAAACUUGUGGGACCACAACAUGAAAAUUUCGGCCGAUGAAAAUGCUGAGUUGUUGAUGCCCCUUUCUGAUAAGGAGACCUGGGAUGUGAUUAAUUCUGCUAACCCUAAUGCUACUUCCGGGCCGGAUGGCUUUUCGUUUCCCUUCUUCCGGAAGUUUUGGCCUCAGUUGAGGCAGUUGAUUUGUAAUGUUAUUCAGGGGUUUUGCCUAGGCACUAUAGAUAUUUCUUGCCUCAAUUACGCGGUGAUAACCCUGAUUCCUAAAGUAAAAGCAGCUGAGCUGAUCUCCCAGUUCAGACCCAUUGCGCUUAUCAAUAAUUUUGCUAAGUUUCCUGCUAAGGGCUUUGCUACCCGCUUGUCUCCUGUUGCGCAUAGAGUUAUCAGCCCCUACCAGUCAGCUUUCAUCAAAGGGCGCUUCAUAUUAGAUGGUAUCCUUUGUCUUCAUGAAAUAGUUCAUGACUUGAGGAUUCGUAAUUCUAAGUCUGUUAUUUUAAAACUAGACUUUGAGAAGGCCUAUGAUUCGGUCAGUUGGCCUUUUCUCAGGAAGGUUCUUCUGGCGAAAGGUUUUGACGGGGCGUAUGUUCAUCGUAUUAUGCAGUUGGUCUCGGGGGGCCACACUGCGGUCUAUGUGAAUGGCCAUAUUAGUAAUAUUUUUGUCAAUGGCAGAGGCCUGCGUCAAGGGGACCCUGCUUCUCCUGUCCUGUUCAAUUUUGUGGCCGAUGCCUUUUCUCGCAUUUUAUCUAGGGCGGCUCAGCAUGGUCAUAUCAUGCCUGUGGUCUCUCGUCUAGUCCUUGAUGGUGUCACUCACUUGUAAUACGCUGAUGACACCAUUAUUAUGGUUGAACUAAAUGAUGCAUGCAUUGCCCACCUCAAGUUCAUCCUUUUAUGCUUUGAGGUCGUCUCGGGUCUUAAAAUUCACUUCUCCAAAAGUGAGGUCCUGGUUACUGGUGUUGAUGAUGCGGAGGCCUUGAGAGUGGCUAGGUUGCUUAACUGUUCCCUGGGCUCCUUCCCCUUCAAAUAUAUGGGCCUUCCCAUCUCUCCUGUUCUGCUACGCUCUAAGGAUUUUGCUCCGGCUGUUUCUAAGGUGGGAAAUAGGGUUCUCCCCUGGAGAGGUAGAUAUAACACCAAUGCUGGCAAAUUGGCUUUGAUUAACACUUGCCUUUCCUCCCUCCCUAUGUUUCUAAUGGGCUUCUAUCUCCUAUAGGGUGGUAUUCAUGCCGGUUUUGACAAGCACAGGGGUGCGUUUUAUUAGAAUGUUGCCGACAACAAACGGAAAUAUAGGUUGGUUAAAUGGAAGCUCAUGUGUAGGCCUAAAAACCUUGGGGGACUAGGGAUUAUCAACACGAUGGUCAUGAACAAAUGUCUUCUAAUCAAAUGGUGGUGGAAAAUCAUGACUCGUGGGGCUGGCUCCUUAUGGUACUCUAUUCUUAAAGCUAAAUACUUCCCACACUCUAGCCCGAUGUUUGAAGUGGCCCAGCGUGGCUCCCAAUUCUGGAAAGACCUUUUUAAAGUCAGACCUUUAUUCCUGGAUCAUGUGAAGUUCAAUGUUGGUAAGGGUACCUCGGUUCAUUUUUGGCGUGAUUGGUGGUGUGGUGAUACUCCUCUGGCAGUUAGCUUUCCGGUUCUUUUUCCGUAUUGCCCUAAUCUAGAGAUCUCCAUCGUGGAGGUGGCGGCUAAUAAUUGGGAUUUGGCUUUUCGCCAUUCCUUGUCUCCUGAAGAGUUGGAUGACUGGCAAAGACUCUCUGCCUUCUUCCCCCUGCUCUUGGAGACGCAUGAUACGGUGAUCUGUCCUCAUUCUCCUUCUGGUCAUUUUUCAGUUAAAUCCUUGUAUUCUAGGCUCAUCGAAGGUUCCCCUUCGAAUAUAUUUUCUUGCAUCUGUCGGUCCAAAGCUCCUCCUAAGAUUAAAAUCUUCCUCUAGCAGGCCUUUAGAGGUCGUCUCCUUGCGGCCGACCAAAUUCGUAAGCGGAACGGGCCGGGAUUGGCUUUCUGUGACCUACGUGGUGCCGCGGAGGAUACGAACCAUAUCUUUUUUCAUUGUGUGUUGGCUAAGCUGGUCUGGAGCUGUGUCUGCUCAUGGCUCCAGGUUCCUUGGAAUCCCUCCUCCUUUCAUGAGUUGAGAAACCUUGCCAGCUCACUGGUUGGGGUGACUAAGAGAGUUUUCUGGGUUGGCCUGGGUGCGAUAUGCUGGUCUUUGUGGACGAUUAGGAACAAAUUUACGAUCGAGCACGUCUUCCCAUCUAAGGAUGCUGACGUUCUUUUCAAAUCUGGUAUCUUCUUGCAGCAGUGGAGAUCAUUGACUAAGGAGGACGACCGGGGAGCGCUGGACCUGCUCAUAUCUAAAAUUCUGGCCUCAGCGUCUUCUAUUUCUGGGCAGGACCCUGGCGCCUGAUCUUUCAUGUCGAUGUUUCGUCGUCUUCGUUGCUGGCGGUGUCUACUUCUUCUCCGGCCUGCAUACCAUGUCUGGCAGGUUGCCAUGUACCCCUAAUACUCUCUUGCUAUUGGUCCCUAGUACUGUUGUCGUGUUUUAUUGCUGGCUUCGCCUUUUGUUGGUGUUGGGCUUGUGACUCUGCCUUGUGGAUUUAUUUAUAAAGUCGGGGUAUGGCCUUUUCUCUAAAAAAGAGGAUGAUCUUUCAUGAUUAGAGCGGAUCAUGCGAAGAACAAGAAGAACACAUGAGGGGAAAACAUGAG